GCUUAUUCGUACAGUACAUGCAAUACAUUACACGUAAUGUCUUUUAUUCCUGUACAAAAGAAGUUUACAACCCGUAGGGCAGUCUUCCUUCACGCGAUUUGGCUGGUUCAGACUCUCGUCCAUUGACCAAUAUUCCUCACUGCUGCCUCCCGUAGGAGUCUGGUCCGUGUCUCAGUUCCAGUGUGGGGGACAAACCUCUCAGUUCCCCUAUCCAUCGUUGCCUUGGUAAGCCGUUACCUUACCAACUAGCUAAUGGAACGCAUGCCCAUCUACAUCCGAUAAAUCUUUAACAAAUAUUGCCAUGCGGCAUCCCUGUAUUAUGCGGUAUUAGUCCGAAUUUCUCCGGGUUAUUCCCCUGAUGUAGGUAGGUUGCAUACGUGUUACUCACCCGUGCGCCGGUCGCCAUCAAAGUAUUGCUACUCUAUGCUGCCCCUCGACUUGCAUGGGUUAGGCCUG
RNAcentral lists this ribosomal RNA (456 nucleotides) under uncultured SAB reactor bacterium band 6. Its description in RNAcentral is "partial 16S ribosomal RNA". The record is from RNAcentral.